UACGGGGGGGGCACGCGUUGUUCGGAAUUACUGGGCGUAAAGGGCUCGUAGGCGGUGCGGCAAGUUGGGAGUGAAAUCUCUGGGCUUAACCCAGAGGCUGCUUCCAAAACUGCCGUGCUAGAGUGCGAGAGAGGACAGUGGAAUUGCAGGUGUAGCGGUGAAAUGCGUAGAUAUCUGCAGGAACACCCGUGGCGAAGGCGGCUGGCUGGAUCGCAACUGACGCUGAGGAACGAAAGCUAGGGGAGCAAACAGG
RNAcentral lists this ribosomal RNA (253 nucleotides) under uncultured bacterium. Its description in RNAcentral is "partial 16S ribosomal RNA". It matches the Rfam family "Bacterial small subunit ribosomal RNA", at positions 524 to 776 of the family's 1533-position model. The record is from RNAcentral.